GAAAAAUCUGAAGGUGGAAAUUGAGGGCUGCAAAUCAUUGGAAGAGGUAUUUGAAUUGGGUGAGGCUGAUGAAGGAAGCAGUGAGGAGAAGGAGCUGCCUCUGCUGUCAUCUUUAACAAUGUUACAUCUAAACAGAUUACCUGAGCUCAAAUGUAUAUGGAAGGGGCCCACCAGACAUGUCAGCCUCCAAAGUCUUAUUUUUCUGGAUUUGUAUUCUCUCGACAAACUGACAUUUAUCUUCACAACGUCCCUCGCUCAAAGUCUGCCAAAGCUAGAAAGACUUGACAUACGUGAUUGCGGUGAAUUGAAGCAUGUUAUCAGAGAAGAGGAUGGUGAAAGGGAAAUAAUUCCAGAGUCUCCUCGCUUCCCAGAAUUAAAAACUCUCUACAUAUCUCACUGUGGUAAACUGGAAUAUGUCUUCCCUGUCUCUAUGUCUCCAAGCCUUCCGAACCUGGAAGAGAUGACGAUUUCUUAUGCUGACAAUUUAAAGCCAAUAUUUUACAGUGGAGAAGGAGAUGCACUCACCACAGUUGGCAUCAUCAAGUUCCCUCGACUAAGAAAAUUGUCUCUUUCAAAUUGCAGCUUUUUUGGUCCAAAUAAUUUUGCUGCCCAAUUGCCUUCUUUGCAAAUUCUAAAAAUUGAUGGCCACAAAGAAUUGAGAAAUUUGUUUGCACAGCUCCAAGUACGUCCUUUAUAUUUCUCCAAUAUUUUUUUUCCUUUUUAAUUUAAAUUGUCAACUUCAAUACAUGUUGAUUUCUUCCUUUAAAUUUCUGAAACUGAAGUAAUUGAUGAGUGGAGAUAAAUCCUUUAGCCAUCCACUAAAUUUAAAAGGAUUUGUCUAACUGUAUCAUUCCCUGUCUCUUGAUGCAGGGGUUGACAAAUUUGGAAACAUUAUGCUUGGAAUCCCUGCCUGACAUGAGGAGUAUAUGGAAGGGUCUCGUGCUGAGCAAAUUGACUACUUUGGAGGUGGUUAAGUGUAAGAGACUGACACAUGUAUUCACAUGCAGCAUGAUUGUCAGUCUAGUUCAACUGAAAGUUCUAAAGAUAUUGUCCUGUGAGGAAAUGGAGCAAAUCAUUGCUAAAGAUGAUGAUGAAAACUACCAGAUAUUGUUAGGAGAUCAUCUCCAAUCUUUAUGCUUUCCCAAUUUGUAUGGAAUUGAGAUUAGAGAAUGUAACAAGUUGAAGAGUCUCUUCCCAGUAGCCAUGGCUUCAGGUCUCCCAAAGCUGCAAACACUGAGAAUAAGUGAAGCCUCUCAAUUAUUGGGAGUAUUUGGGCAGGAUGAUCAUGCUUCACCUAUCAACGUUGAGAAGGAGAUGGUGCUUCCUAAUCUGUGGGAGCUGUCGCUAGAACAAUUAUCAAGUAUUGUCUGUUUUAGUUUCGGAACCUGUGAUUUCUUAUUCCCUUGUUUGGGGAAGUUGAAGGUCCAUCAAUGUCCAAAGUUGACCACAAAAUUUGCUACUACACCAGAUGGUUCAAUGAGUGCUCAAUCAGAGGUGCUGCUGAUUUGACUUGAUUUCUUGCCUCUCUUUUAGCGUGUUUGUUUCUUGUUUCCCUCAAUAAUAAGAUUUACAAGUUAAAAUGAGCAUGCCAUGCUUGACUUGGUUUUACAGGUAUAUGAAGUAGAUGAAGAUUCAAGCAUUAAUAGAGACUGGACCAGAAAUAACGGGUGGAAAGAAGAUGGAGACUCAUGUCUUUGAGCUGUGAAUAUAUUUGGACUUGAUGCUGUACUAUUUGUUCAAAAGUUUGAUAUCAUAUUUUCCUAGCAGAACAGUGUCAUGUUGAAUGGUUUUUUCGAGCACAUACCUUGCUGGAUUUUGCUAGAGAUUCUAAAUAUUCCUCUGAUUUCUAUACAUUUGAGCUCAGGUAACCCUUGCAGCGGUAACUCUGUUAAAGAUGACAGCAGCGGCAGCUCCUUCUCCUCACUGCUUCCUUCAUCAGAAGAUGGUGAUGAUGAUGAUGAUGAUUUCAAGGUUGGUGCUGCGAAUAUGUUUUUGAUUGGUGGAAGUAAUUCCUACUGUUUCAUUGGAAAUGGGAUACAAAUUGGCUUCACUUUGUAACAGUCUUAUUUAUCAAAAGAAGAUAUCGACUUAUCUAUAUAUGUGUGAAUAAGGUUAUCUGCUUGUUUACCCAUGUAAUGUAAUGUUGUGUGUUUAGUCAUUACUGUGCGAACCUCAAAAAAAUAAUGUUGCUUGACCAUUAUCGUACAAGCCUCCAGAAGUAGGGGCGUAUGUUGCUUGCCCAUUUGUGUUUCUUUUCAAGUGUGUGAACCUUAAAAAAUAAAGGCAUAAUGUUUAAUGUGUAUUGAAGGAAAGAAUCCCAAGUAAUUAGGAGAUAUACUGUAAUCAAUGGGAUUAAAUAAUUUACCAAAGUUAAUCCUAGAGUAUCUGAUUAUAUGUAAACUGUGUAUAUUGUUGGGAUAUUGCCAUUAUUGUGGCAAUACCCCACCACUAAUUGUGGCUUAGUGGAAGCAUCACUAAUGCCACAAUUAGUGGCAUGAUUUCGGGACCUAAGAAAUGCAUAUAAAGGAGGCUUAUAUUUGAGAGCAAGAGUGUGAGAGAAGAGAGAAUUGUGAGAGUGAAGUGACGAGAAGAAGAGAGAAAGAGGAGCUGCUGCCAUGGGCAGCAGCCCUGCUGCCAUAUGCAGCAGAGUGUGUGAACUGGGAGUUGAGUGAUCCUCCUCCAUGUAUUGUUUUGUAAACCUUUCUCUACCUCUAAUACAAUGACUCUCUCCCGUGGAUGUAGGCGGUUUUGCCGAAUCACGUUAAAUAUUGUGUCAGUGUGCUUACCCUCCGAUGAGCAACUAUCAGUACACCCCCGGUCCGCGCAUGGGGGUGACGGAAUUCCCCAACAAUUGGUAUCAGAGCACAUGGUUUAAAGGGGUGUUUGAUUUUUGCUCAAAAAUGAAAGUUGUCACAAUUGUGUUUUGACCAUACCACUGUGUAGAGAAGGAAGAGACGAAGCCACUGGUGAAAACGGCGUCAAAAUCGGACGUCGGACAUGACCGCACUCUCCAUCACUCUCCGGCAAGGCGUCUGCCCACGCGCGCAGACGCGCCCCACGCGUCUUCUUCACCCGGAUGGGUUGACCCGACCCGAAUACCAGUUGACCCGACCCAUGUGACUGACUCGGAUAUGGAUGACGUCAGCAUGACAUAAUUGUGAUGUCAGCAUGCACAGUAGGCAUGCCAGGGAUGACAUCAGCCUGAUGUAAGUGUGAUGUCAGCAUGCACAGUAGGCAUGCCAUGUCAUCAGACACAUCAUCGACCAGUCAGUAGACACGUCAGCACAGUGGGACCCACCUGCCACGUCACCAGCCACGAGUUGAGCCGAGCCGAGUUGAGCCGAGCCGAAUUGGAGCCGAGCCGAGACGCGAGCCGAGGGACAGGAUCCAGUGUAGCGGAUCCUAAGUGCAACCGGAUCUGAGAUUGAAUCUAAGCCGUUAAUCAGGCCAGAAUUGUUUUGAUCAAAUUGUAGCCGUCUGAAAUGCGAUUUGGACGAUUUCAGACUUGUUUCCAGCUAAUUUGAUCGUUCCGGAUGCAAUGGUACGGUCCGAUCAUUGAGAUUUGAGACCAAAAAUGGCGGUGGUUAAUUAUUAAAGAGAGAUUGCCCGAUCAGGAGGCAUCCGAUGGUCUUCAUGGUGGUCGAUGAAGAUGAAGAAGAAGGUGCACAUGUUUACCCAAUUACAUGUGCUGAACUGCUAAGUGGGGAGAAAUUUAACUGCCUUGAGGGAAGGCAAAAUUGGGACACUCUGGACACCCGAUCAAGUGGACAGUUAGAGGUGUAGAGUGAAAACUGAUGAAGACCAAUCUUGACGAAUCUAAGAACUGGUAGUCUCGUCAGAUGUUGAGAAAUCAUGUAUUAAACCAGUAUAUUCCAGAUCACUUGUAAAGGAAAACCGCAACAAAGCUAGCAAAUGGUUGUAUAUACGGAAAGACAGUACGAUGGAUAGAUAUGGCCUAAGAAGUUCUGUCUAGGAGAUUGGGUUUUAAGCGGGACCAGUGUGACCCCUCCAAUCUUUCCUGGGAACUUGCUUAGUGGAAGGAUUAUCCAUACGGUACUAUUUUCGUAUAUAUAGCAGUUUGUAAUGAAACAGUUGAAGACUAGCAGGAUGGCGGCACAAGGGAACAGUUGGGUUCCAAAGGUUCAAGGAUCUGAUGGAGUGGUGAUUUCUCCAAAGAAGUUAGAUUCGGUGACUGUGAUUUCUUGAGGGAGAAUUGAUGAAGACCCUGAUAAUGGAAGAGGAAUACAGCAAGAGGAUAAAGAUUGGCACCCUAUUUUGACUUGGACAGGUGUUGUGACAGGAUGAGCUGCUGUCAAACAUAAGCAAGGAAUAGGGAGAAAUUCUGGAGAACAGAAAAUGCACGAGGGCACACGGAGAUUGUGCAUGAGUACCCGUAAGAUUCAACGAGGUACUGUAAUGAGACAACAGGUGCAAGGAGAAGAAGUGUUCCCAGAUGAAGCUCAGAGCAGAGACUGUUAAAGUUUGUACAACAGGAAGUCUCUUGUGCUCUUAAUGAAGACAACAUGCGAAGACCUUUCCAAUGCAUGCAAGGAUGGAAAGAGAGCUGUUGCAGAGGCACCUAAUUGAGGGGGUGCAAAUGCCUAUGAUAAAAGGCGACCGCCUAUGAUGAAAGGCGAAGACACCAAAGAGAGUUGGUGUAGGUGGAGCUGUCAAGCAGAAAGGCACAGAAGCUCCAAACAUAGAAAUUGAGGUGGAGGAUUGCGAGGAGUAUACCACAACUUUCUCUUUCUAUGUAGUCAGUGGCAGCAAUCUCUCCCAUAGUGCACAUGGUGGUAGAGAAUUUUGGAGCCACUUUGAAGCAUCUCAGCUGAAGGAGGAUGCGACCGCCCCAUGACAACGGGCGAAGACACCUUAGAUGGAAGGUGUGUGAUGGCCAUGAUAGGAGCCCGGAUCAGACCGCCCUAUGACAACGGGCGAAGACACCUUAGAGAAGGUGUGAGGGCCUUGAUAUGAGCCCCAGAUCAGACUGUCCUAUGACAACGGGCGAAGACACCUAAGGAGAAGGUGUGUGGGCCACGAUAUGAGCCCAGUUCAGAACGCCCCAGAGCUAAAAUGAUGGCUGGAUAUAAGUGGACAGGUGUAUAGCCAAUGAAGUGGCUAUGAUGAGUAUGGAGACAGAUGCAGGAUUGACUUUCAUGGAUAUUGCCCCCAUGCUAAAGAUCAAUGAGCUAGAAGACAUUUGCCUUGGACAAUAAGUGUGUGACUUGUGGAGCAUUAAGACGCGGCUGCUAUGAAGGAGCAGAGGGCAUGCGCAGGUUCCCUGAACAAGUUGACUCUUGUCAAGGUGGUGAGCUCGGUAAUGGCAUUGUAAUACUCAGAGUAUGAAGAUAGAUAUGGAUCAACCUUUAUGGGCUGCCCCCAUGGUGAAAGGUGGAGAGCUACCUGGACUCUUACGACUAAGAGCGAGAGACUCACGGAGAAGUAAGGCGUGGUUCCUAGGGUGGAACAGAGGGCAUGCGCAACUCCUGGAUGAGUAGACUCUUGGAAGAGUGGUGAGCUUGUGAUCACAUUGAAAUACUCAAUGACUGUCGCACUUGGGAAUAUUCGUUUGAGGGGGUGUCAUAAGCCUUGGUGUAAGGCUUGAAAAAUCAUUCCGGACCGAGCAUGGUUGAUACGCUCGAAGGGGAAUGUUGUGUUGAAGACGCUCUCAGAAUGGAAGCUUGGAAGAGCUGCAAAAUGCAAGCUUGUGCUGAAGAAGCAAAAGGACAAUUGCCCACAUAAAUGGCAAAGGGGUGAUUGUUAGGAAAUUGCCAUUAUUGUGGCAAAUGCCCCACCCACCACUAUGCUUAGUGGAAUACUUAGUGGAAGCUUCAUUCAUGCCAUAAUUAGUGGCAGGAUUUCAGGACCCGUUGUCCCCUUGAUGUGCUGGAGAAGGCUACUAAGAAAUGCAUAUAAAGGAGGCUUAUAUUUGAGAGCAAGAGUGUGAGAGAAGAGAGAAUUGUGAGAGUGAAGUGACGAGAAGAAGAGAGAAAGAGGAGCUGCUGCCAUGGGCAGCAGCCCUGCUGCCAUAUGCAGCAGAGUGUGUGAACUGGGAGUUGAGUGAUCCUCCUCCAUGUAUUGUUUUGUAAACCUUUCUCUACCUCUAAUACAAUGACUCUCUCCCGUGGAUGUAGGCGGUUUUGCCGAAUCACGUUAAAUAUUGUGUCAGUGUGCUUACCCUCCGAUGAGCAACUAUCAGUACACCCCCGGUCCGCGCAUGGGGGUGACGGAAUUCCCCAACAUAUAUAUAUAUAUCGUGCUUCUUUGCAAUAUGAAGACACUGAAUACAGAAUACAAUAAUAUUAUCAUUCUGUUCAUGGUAUGUUCUGAGAACCUAGAAAUACAACCCAGUAAUCCACACAACCAAAUACCUCAUGGCGGGUGACGAAGACCAAAAGCUUCUUGAUCAAAACAAGAGCUCAAACUCUUUCAAGACCUCAGAACCAUGGGAGAACUCCAAUCAUUCACUUUUUCUCCAUCACUCAGAUCAACCAGGCGCUGUCCUCGUUUCAAAAUCGCUGAUGGAAGACAAUUACACAACAUGAGUACAGUCAAUGAGCAUGGCACUUACUAUAAAAAACAAGAAGGGCUUUGUAGAUGGAACUCUCAAGAGACCGACUCAUAAUCCUGAUGAGCAACAACAAUGAGACUGCUGUGACAUUCUUGUAAAAACCUGGCUGCUAGGAGCCAUGUCGAAGGAUAUCUUAGGCAGUGUCAUCCAUUGCAAGGACACAAGAGGUAUAUGGCUAGAGCUGAAAGAGAGAUUUUCUCAAACUAACGUAGUUUCAUUGUUCCAUAUAGAAAAUGCCAUUCAUGACUGUGAACAAAGUACAAACUCAGUCAUGUCCUUUUUCACGAAGCUCAAAAGCUGUGGGAUGAGAAGGAUGCCCUCUGUGCAUUCCCUCCUUGCAAUUGUGAGGCAGCUACCGCUGUUAAGGUUUUCAUGGAAACACAAAAAGACCAUGAAGUUCCUGAUGGGGCUUAACGAAAGCUAUGCACAGACCCGAAGCAAUAUAAUAGGCAUGGAUCCUCUUCCGAACCUGGACAAAGCCUAUGCAAUGGCUUUACUACAUGAGAAGCAGGCAGAGGCCUUUACUGGAAAGUCGAUGACACCAUCAGAAGCAUCUGCUUUUGCAGUAAAGAAGGUGACCUGUGAUUUUAACUCUACAGAAGGAGAAGCUAAAUUUUGUGAAAAAUGCAACAUGAAUAAUCACAACACAAAGAACUGCAGAGCUCAUCUCAAAUGCACAUAUUGCAAUGGAAAAGGACAUACCUAUGAUUAUUGUUGAAGGAGAAAGAACGCUACUGAAGGUGGACAAACAAGAUCGAAAGCAAAUCAUAUAGCCCCUCAAAAUAAUAGUAAGGAAGCUUUGCCUAAUUUCCCUUUCUCACGAGAAGAGUGCCAUCAACUUCUCAGUCAGCUUUUAACAAAAAUGAAGUCUGCCUCCGCCAAUCUAGUCAUUUUCGGUUUGCACACAGUAGUGAAGAAACAACAUGGAUACUGGAUAGUGGUGCAAGUGAUUAUAUUGUUUGUAACCCAAAUUUGCUUACCUCUCUAAAAUCAGUCCAUAACCGUUGGGUUAAGCUUCCUGAUGGAACCUCCACACACGUUACUCAUAUUGGCACAUUAUCUUUCUCUCCCCACUUUGUUCUUCAUAAUGUCCUUUAUGUCCCACUCUUCUAUCUCAAUUUGAUUUCUAUGAGCAAACUAGCAUUUGAUUCAUUCUAUAUUACUAUCUUUCUCAGACAAAUUUGUGUCAUACAGGACCUACGAUCGGGGAAGAUGAUUGGGAUGGGAACUGAGAAUGAGGGCCUUUACUGCCUCAAUUACUCAACGAAAGGAACAUGCAAUGCAGUACACACCAACACAAACAACUUGUGGCAUCAACGCCUUGGUCACCCUUCAAAUAAAGCAUCUUCAUUAUUUCCAUUCCUUGCCAAUAAAACUUGUAUUUCAAGUACUUGCUCUAUCUGUCCUUUAUCCAAACUCACUAGACAACCUUUCCCAUUAAGCACUACACAUAGUGAAUUUUGCUUUGAUUUAAUUCACAUUGAUAUUUGGGGUGGUUAUCAUGUCCCAUCUUCUUCUUCUGGUGCACAAUAUUUUUUAACCAUUGUUGAUGACCAUUUACGAAGCACAUGGGUAUAUUUGAUAAAAACACAAAUUUGAAGCACACAUUCUACUUAUUCAUUUUAUUCACUUGGUUGAAAAUCAGUUUGGAAAAAAUGUUAAAGUUGUAAGGAGUGAUAAUGGCCUAGAAUUUAAGAUUUCCUAAUUUUAUUCAUCUAAAGGCAUUAUCCAUCAAACUAGUUGCGUCAACACACCACAACAAAAUGGUGUGGCUGAGCGCAAACAUCGACAUUUGCUAAAUGUAGCUAGAGCUCUCUUUUUUCAAGCAACUCUACCAAAACAUUUUUGGAGGGAUGCCAUACUCACUGCGGCUUACUUGAUCAAGUUAUUCUUAAAGGGAAAACACCAUUUGAAAACCUUUUUCAUAAGGAACCAAGUUAUUCCCAUUUAAAGGUUUUUGGAUAUCAAUGUUUUGUGUCCACAUCCAACCCGUCCUAGCAAAUUUGAUCCCAGGUCCACAGAAUGUAUUUUUCUUGGCUACCCACAUGGCCAAAAAGGGUAUAAGGUUUAUAACUUGACAACUAAGAAAAUCCUCGUUUCAAGGGAUGUGAUUUUCUUUGAGCAUGUGUUUCCUUUUAAAACAAAUUCUGCUUCCCAUUUUUUGCCCCACUUACUAAUUUUCAUUCCUGCAAUUUCUCAUCCACAUUCCAUGCACAACUCCAUUCCUACACCUUAUCCUUAAAAUCCCCAAUCUUCUGCUGACCAUCACUUUCCUGAUACUACUCCACCCAUAGUUGUUAAAAUCUCGAUUUAACUCGUAAAAUCAUAUGAUUUUACGAGUCAAUAUAUGUUAUCGUGUUAAAUCAGCUUAAAAACUUGAAAAANNNNNNNNNNNNNNNNNNNNNNNNNNNNNNNNNNNNNNNNNNNNNNNNNNNNNNNNNNNNNNNNNNNNNNNNNNNNNNNNNNNNNNNNNNNNNNNNNNNNUAGUGUGCCGCACGUAUUUAAGUAUACUAACAAAAAGGUACCGCCAAAAUGAGCAGUGUGGCAGCGACAAGCUCGAGGGUGGUUAAGGGAAGGGUUAAACUGGGUUAUACAGUACUUGCAUGUUCUGAGAGUUUUGUUGUUAUUCUGGUUUAUGGAAAAAUGAGUUAUCAGCAAUCUUUGUGAUUCUAUGAUGGACUUCUGGUAAGAUUGAAGAGAGAAGGUUGUGUUUUGAUGGAGAAAAUGUGAGAAAGGGAGUUAAUCGUGGUGGAGAGUAAAAGCCAUAUCUUUUCUUUCUUCUAAUCUCUUAGUGACUAUCGAGAAAGCAAAUCUCUUAGUGACUAUCAAGAAAGCAAGACAGUUCUCUUUUCCAGUGAAGGGAAAUUUGCUACAAUGGUUUGUUUGACAGGACGGUUAAUGGGCUUGGAAAUUUUCUUAAAAAUAUCUCUCAUUUUUUCUGAAACUUUUCUUAAAAAUAUCUCUUAUUUUUUGCACACAUUUCUCCCUGAUGUGUGAAAUACAAAGAUAUUAGGAAUGAUUUCAGCUUGUAUUAGAAAAUUUAUUAAGAAUUUUUUUUUGUAAAAAUUUCAAAUUUCCUUACGAUUUUACGCUUUUACGAUCUGUUUUUACAAUCAGAGUUUAUUUUGUAUUUUCCAUGCCGUGUCAAAAAUAUGUUUUUGAAAACCUUGAUUCCACCCUCAGAUCCAAUUUCCACUCCACUUACUCCUUCUCUCACAAAUAUCAAUCCCUCCAUUACUUCUAAAAAUAAUCCCGCACUUGACACAUCUUUUAGUUCCAUUUCAUCACCUUUGCAACCUCCCAACUGCCUUCACCACAACCACGCAAGUCUUCUCGAGCCAUAAAACUUCCAACUGCAUUGCAGGGCUUUCAUAUUGAUGCAGCUCUUCCCUCAUGCCCCGAUCCGUCAGCUUCCUCGAACAAGGUCAUCUCUCUAGGUAUGGCUCAUAGCCUCUCUCAUAUCCUAUCUUAUGCUAAUCUUUCUUCCCCUCACAGAACCUUUACUACUAAUAUGACCAUACAAAGAAAGCCUACCUCAUUUUCUCAGGUAGUUAAGGACCCGAAAUGGAGAGCAGCUAUGCAGCAAGAGGUUCAAGCACUUCAUGCUAACAAGACUUGGAGUUUGGUUUCUCCUCCGGCUCACAAACGACCAAUUGGUUCUAAGUGGGUAUAUAAAAUCAAGUAUAAUCCCGAUGGCACAGUUGAGCGCUACAAGGCUAGGUUAGUGGCCAAUGGUUACAGCCAAGUUGAAGGGAUUGAUUAUAGGGAAACAUUUGCGCUAGUUGCUAAGCUCACAACAGUUCGUGUCUUACUCAGUCUUGCAGCCAUGCAGAAUUGGCACCUUCAUCAAUUGGACGUAAAUAAUGCGUUUCUCAAUGGAGAUCUCUAUGAAGAUGUUUACAUGUAGCUUCCUCCUGGCUUCGAACGAAAGGGGGAGAAUCAGGUUUGUAAGCUACACAAAUUAUUAUAUGGCCUGAAGCAAGCCUCAAGGCAAUGGUUUUUGAAGCUUUCCUCAGCCCUCAAAUAAGUUAGCUUCAAGCAAUCAUAGUCCGACUAUUCCUUGUUUGUCCGAAACCAUCAAGGUAUCUUCACAGCUUUGUUGGUCUAUGUCGAUGAUGUUAUUCUUGCAGGGAACAAUUUAGAAGACAUCACAAAGACCAAGUGCUUUCUCUCAAGCCACUUCAAACUGAAGGAUAUGAGACAAUUGAAAUACUUUCUUAUAAUAGAAGUAGCAAGAUCCAAGCACGGGAUUUCCUUGUGUCAAAGGAAAUAUGCAUUGGAAAUCCUUGAAGAUACAGGGUUCCUUGGUGCUAAACCUUCACGGUUUCCAGCUGAACAAAAUGUGACACUUAUACAAGGAGAUGAAGACUUAUUAGAAGACGCCUCCCAAUAUCGAAGACUGGUUGGACGUCUCAUUUAUCUAACCAUCACACGGCCAGACCUUGCAUACGCAGUUCAUAUACUUAGUCGGUUCAUGGACAAACCUAGGCAGCUUCACUUAGAAGCAGCACACAAGGUAUUGAGGUACAUCAAGCAAGCACCUGGUCAGGGAAUUCUCUUACCUUCCAAAGGGUCAUUGGAUUUAAGGGCAUAUUGUGAUGCAGACUGAGUUCAUUGCAAGGACACUAGAAAGUCAACAACUGGCUAUUGUAUUUUCCUUGGACAUGCUCCCAUUUCAUGGAAGACAAAGAAACAAAGUACAAUAUCAUAUUCGAGUGUAGAAGUUGAGUAUCAUUCCAUGGCUACUACAUGCUGUGAAAUAACAUGGCUGCAAUACAUUUUAAGGGACUUGAAUGUUAAGCAUGAGCAACCAGAUAAAUUGUUUUGUGACAAUAAGGCAGCAAUACACAUAGCCUCAAAUCUCGUGUUUCAUGAACCAAGCAUAUAGAAAUAGACUGUCAUCUGGUGCGAGAAAAGGUGCAGAAAGAAUUGGUUUAACCAGAGCACAUACGGACCAAGGAGCAACCAGCAGACAUAUUCACUAAGCCACUAAGUUCAAACCAGUUCUCCAUAUUACUGGGCAAGUUAGGAGUGAUCAACAUAAACUCUAACUUGAGAGGGAGUAUUGAAGGAAAGAAUCCCAAGUAAUUAGAUGAUAUACUAUAAUCAAUGGGAUGAAAUAAUUUACCAAAGUUAAUCCUAGAAUAGCUCCUAGAAUAUUUCCUAGAAUAGUGGAUGUGAUUGUAUGUAAACUGUGUAUAUAUAUGUCGUGCUUCUUUGCAAUAUGAAGACACUGAAUACAUAAUACAAUAAUAUUAUCAUUCUGUUCAGUGUGGACUUUCAUUCAUUCUCCUUUCUACGACUUGAGUAUUUUCUGCAUCAGCAUGUUUUCUCUAUUAAUUUGAUGUUCUGUUUCUAUUGCAUAAUGCAUUAUGCGGUUUUGGGCAUCAGCAAUGCCGCUCAAGAUCUUCAAUAAAUGUUAUUGUAUGAGUAUGUGAAUGUAUUUGGGCAUUCAAAUCUCAAGAUGACUGAGACUUGAUUUCAUGCUUUCCUAGCAGAACAAUCUCAUGUAGAAUGGUUUUUUCGAGCAGAUACCUUGCUAGAGAUUCUAAAAAAAAUUAAAAUCAAAAGUCAAAAAUAUAUUAAAUCAAUUUACGAAAGUCGUAUAUGAUAUAAUCUAACUUUAACUACUUCUUGAAAUCUCUUUGUUGUAAUCUUAAUUAUAUAUGCUUCAUAUUAUAUUUUAAAUUAAAACAUUUGUUAUUCUUACCAUAACAAAUUGUAAUGUGGGCAAGACUCAAGUUAUUAUGCAUUGAACUAUUCUCCUAUAAUGCAAUCCUUUUAUAGGUUGCAUAAAAGUUUAAUAUGGUCCUUGAAAUUUUUGUUUUUCAUAUUUAUUUAAUCCUAUAGUGUUAAAUUUUUAUAAUUCAAUCUUAAAACUUCAUUUUUAUCAUAUUUUUAGUUAUUGAAUGUUGAGAGGAGACAGGGAAUGUGGUGAGAAAACGGAGAAAAGAGAGGAUUUGACUGAUCAUAUUCUAGUAAUAAAAAGACCGAUUUUAAUAUCAAUAGAUUCAUCUUGAACAUGAGAGUUUCAUUAAAAUGAUAUUGUUAUUUAACCAUUAAUGAUCUUAAAUAAACAUUUACUUGAUUUAAAAAUGAAAAACCAAUCAGAAUCUAAAUUAAUUAUCGAGUCAUGAUCUACUUAUUUAACCAUUAAUUCUAGGUUUAAGAUUGAAAAUGAUAAAUUUCAGUUUGGUCUCUCAAUUUAUGCAAAAUUUAGUUUAGUUCCUAGAGCAUAAUCUGAGAUUCUGGAUAAAAUGUAAUGUUGAGAAAUUAUAGGGACAUGUUACUUAGUAGCUCAAAAAGAUAAGGGACUAAAAUGAACUUUGCAAACAAUUACAAUGUCGCCGCAUAUUUUUACCAAGUUUUUCAUUUCAGUCAUGUAUCUUUGAAUUCAACUCUUAUACUUAAAAAACAAAAUGCAAUUGAGUUUUAAUUUGGGCAUAAAGAGAUUCGAUUAUGAAAAAAAAAAAAUUUCAAAUAUCAAAUUGAAAAUUUUAAAAAAAUUCACUAUUAAAUUUCAAAUAUCAAAUUGCAUCAAGUGAUUUUUUGAGAUCAUUUCCCAAUUGAGGACGACAGACUACGGGAAAGAGGAGAUUGGUUGUGGUGGGGAUUGAAGCUGUGAUUUGGGAUCGGUUCAGCAUCUUCUGCUGAUAGGUUUAUCCAGCAGACUACAAGAGGUAAGAACCUGCUCUUAUAUAUCAUGCAAAGAAAUGGAUCAGAUCAGAGUUGCCAAACAUGAAAAGAGAACAAGAGCUAAAGCUGCAUAAAUUAACAGCUUAAUAAAAAGAAUACAAUUUUAUUGUGAUCUUUUGAAAAUAAAAGAGAAUAGAAAAAGGCUACAAAAUUCUUGGAGGCAUAGAAAGAGGUAUAAAUGAAUGAACUGUAAUAAUUGAACAAAGAAUUGAUAAAUAUAAAUAGAAAAAAAUAAAGAGCUCUGAAUUCUUAGAGAGAAAACCGUGAGAGUGAAAAAAGAAAAACAGGAAAAGAGGAAAAAAUAAAGAAAGAUGAAGAGAGUUGGAUAAAAUAAGUUAAAAUGUAAGAUUUACGCAUUGAUGUGUAUAAAUGUGUUUUUCUUAGCUUUAAUUUUCUGUUUUGUUGAAUAUUAGAGUUUUGAAGAUUGUGUUUUGGGUUUGAUUGAUGAAUUGAUUUGAAUAUUAUGUGUUAAUUGUUAUUGAUAAUGAGUUAUAUAGUUGAUUUUUAAAGAUUUUAAGUAAAAAUGAUGAUUUUGAGUUAUGGUUUGUUUUAAUGAUGAAUUUGAGUUAGAAAUCUUGAUAUAUCAAUAGUUGAUCUGUGAAAAUUCUGGGUUUGAGGUUGAAGAUCAUGAAAUUUCAGUUUGGUCCUUCAAUUUGUGAAAAUUUCAGUUUAGUUCCUAGAGCAUAAUCCAAGAUUCUAUAUAAAAUGUAAUGUUGAGAAAUUAUAGGGACAUGUUACUUAGUAGCUCAAAAAGAUAAGGAACUAAAAUGAACUUUUCAAAUAAUUACAGUGUCACUAUAUAGUUUUACGGAGUUUUUCAUUUCAGUUGUCUAUUUUUCAAUUCAACUCUUAUCCUUAAAAAAAAAAUGCAAUUGAGUUUUAAUUUUAGCAUAAAGAGAUUCAAUUAUGUAAAAAAAUAAUAAUAAUCCAAAUACCAAAUUGAAAAUUUUAAAAAAAAUUCACUAUUAACAUCCACAUCCACAAUAAAAUAAGUCUCGGUAAAUAAUAAUAAACAGAAAACUCUUUUAUCUUUUAAUAUAUAAUUUUGUAUUGUGACACAUAUUUUUUGAAUAAUUUUUUAUUUAAAAACAUAUUAAAAUAUUAUAUAUAUAAAAUAACAAGAAAUAUUAAAAAAUAUAUUAAUUAAAUAUUUUUAUAAAUUAAAUAUAAUUAUAAAAACCACUCUCACACAGUAAAAAAACAAAUAGCCUCGUUUUCAUACUAAUUUUCAUCUUCUAUUUUCUACAAGACUGGCUUUCUUCCUUCUUUAUCCCAUUCAUUUUUUUCUCCUUUUAUCAUGCUGUGAUUUUAAGAUUUUUAUUUUAAGUGUUUGAAUAACUAGUUGUUUUUUAAAAUAUUUUUUUAUUUUAAAAAUAUAUUAAAAUAAUAUAUUUUUUAUUUUUUAAAAAUUAUUUUUAAUAUCAAUAUAAAAAUAUAAAAAUUAAUUUAGAAUACAAAAAAUUAUUUUAUAAAAAAAUAAUUUAAAAAAUAAAAAACAAACACGCUAUUUCCCUCCUUAUUUGCUGCCGUGAUUUCAGGUCCUCUUUUCCUGCCUUAUUUGCAAGAGCAUGAAAAAAAUAAAUAAAACAAAAUGAAAUCAAACGAGCAUGGCUGUUAACAACUAAAAGUCAAAAUAUAGAGAAAAAUACUAUCGUAGUCUUUCCUUUUCUGGCUCCAACAACCUCUCCCUUUAUUUCCACGUCCCUAUCUUAUCUCAACCGUGCCUUUCCUCUUUUUUUUUUUUUUUUUUGUUUUUGAAAAGCCUUUUAAGCUUUCUCUCUCCCACUUUCUAUCCUUUCCUAAGGGUAGAUAAAGUUGAACACGUGGCGACCAUCUAUUAACUUUUGAAAUUACCUUUAUCUCCAUGUCACAGUAUUUUUUUUUAUGAAAAGUAAAUUAUUUGUUGAUAUUUGAUAGUAUGGUAAAAUAAAUUGAAAAAUAUUUUUCAAUAUUUAAUUAUGUUAUGUAAAAUAAACUGGAAAAUAACGUAUUAAUAUUAUUUUUUUCAAAUUUAUUAAAAUAACAAGUAACAAAUCUUACAAAUUAAAAAGUUGAAUGAGAAAGAAAUUAAAAAAAAUCUAAUUUCAUAAAUUAUCUCAAAUAAAAUAAAUAACAAUCAAAAUAAUGGAGAUCAAAUCUAAAAAUAAAAAACUUAAAAAAUGAUGAAAUUAAAAUAAUAAUAAUUACAAUUUCAUAAAUUAUUUCAAAUAGAAUAAGUAACAAUUAAAAGAAUAAGGACCGAAUUUGAUAGAUAAAAAAUGAUGAAAUUAAAAUAAUAAUAAUUAUAAUUUCAUAAAUUAUUUCAAAUAGAAUAAGUAACAAUUAAAAGAAUAAGAACCGAAUUUGAUAGAUAAAAAAUUUCAAUUAAAAAAAUAAAAAGAGAAAAGCAAAUAACAAUCAUAAAAGUAAAGAUUAAAUUUAAUAUAAAAUGAAAUUCUAAGGAGUGAAAUUGAAAACAAAAAUAUUCAAAACAAAAUAUAUAGUAAUUAAAAGUUUGAGGAUCAAAUUUGUUAUAAUCAACAAAUAAUAUGAUAUUUUUAAAUUUUUUAUAAUUUCUGAAAAGUGUUUUCUGCUUAAAAUAAAAAAAAAUACUUUCCUAAAAAUUAAGUUAAUUUUUUUCACUAAAAAAUAUUUUUCAUUGAAUAAUUUUUUUAAUAACAAAUAAAUAUAAAGAAUUUAUAAAAAACUACUUUCUGUCAGCAAACUCUUUUCUCCUACUUUCUACCACUAUCUUAAUGUGCAGAUCAGGUUGAACAAGUGGCGAUAAUCUAUUGGUUACUUGGAUCAGCUGGUCACCGUGUCACAAAAAGAUUUAAAAUUCUCCUUUCAUUUACUCACGUUGUAAUAUUGGUACUUUCUCAUAAAUUUGUUUUUUUUUUAAACUGCAAUUUUUAAUUAUAAUCUGUAAUUAUAAUUUCUUAUGUAAUGAAAUUGUAAUCCCUAGUAUAAUGCAUAUUCUAGGGCAAGCACAUCACUCAAGAGCAAAGCACCUCGAUGAAAUAGCAAAAAAAAAAGAUUUGAAUGACUGAAAUAAAAUAAAACCACAAAAGAAGGAUGAAGAAAGUAACCGCACUCUGGAUGCCACCAAAAACCUAGUUUUUUUAGCUUUUAUUUAUUUAUUUAAUAUUGUAAUAGGUCAAUAGAAUUACCUCAGUGAGUGUGACACAGAUGAUCAUCAUAGAUAAUUUAUUUUUAAUUGCUUGAGUUUCAUCCUUUAUUGUGUUCAUUCCAGUAAUUCUAUUCUUUGCAAGUCUGUUCCUUUAUUGAUCUGUUUUUUUUUUUUUUUUUAAAAAGAAUAAAACUAAAAAAAACUUCGACCGAUCAUAGCUUAGAUUAGUUAAUUAUAUUUGUUGUUGGAAGCGAGCUAAGUGAUUAUCCUGAACCUUUCACUCGUUUCUUUCUUUGCUAGGUGAGUACUUUUAUACAUUUUUUUUUGUAUGUCACUGUCUCUAUAUGAUCUUAAUUAUGUCAUCAAAAUGCAUUUUUAAUGGGAAUUACUGCUUUAACUCACAAGUGUCAGUUAGAAUCCUUAUACCUUGCCUUGUUGCUUUUGAAGCUGGAUUCCAUACAGAGCUAGAGGCCUUCUCCUUUUCUUCCUCCCGCUAUUUCAUUGAUUGCCAGUGCUUUUCGCACAUAUUUUCCCAAAUUAAGGUAAUGGAAUUCCUAUUCCCAUUCUCUCUGCGCCUGUUUUACUUGUAGUGACUCACUCUCACGCUCUGUAUCCUUAUUUCUCUGAUUUUCAGACCGGUGGAAAAUGGAUAUCAUAAGUGCUGCUGGACCCAUUAUAUCCAAGAUAGCAGAUCUCUUGGUGGAACCAGUAGGAAGGCAGUUCCGUCACAUGUUCUAUUUCAACGAUUUUGUUAAAGAAUUCAAACAAAAAAAGGAGAACCUGGUUUCGGAAAAAGAACGUCUGCAUGACGAUGUCGAAGCUGCUGAAAGGAAUGCUGAAGAAAUUUACGAAGAUGUCAAAAAGUGGCUGGGAGAUGCAAAAAACGAAAUUGAAGGUGCGGAGCCCUUGGAAAAUGAAAUAGGAAAAAAUGGCAAAUGCUUCACUUGGUGUCCAAACUGCAUGCGACAAUUCAAGUUAAGCAAGGCACUGGCCAAGAAGUCGGAGACUUUCAGAGAACUUUUAGAAAAGAAGUUUACAAAAGUGUCCCACAGAGCUUAUCCUCAGCCCAUAGAAUUUCUCCCAUCAAAGGAAUUCAUGCCCUCAGAAUCGUCAGAAGAAGCUUUCAAACAGAUUAUGGAAGCUCUCAAAGAUGACAACGUCAAUAUGAUCGGACUGUGCGGCAUGGGAGGGGUGGGUAAAACCACCGUGGUGAAAGAAGUAGGCAAGAGAGCCAAAGAGUUGCAGCUGUUUGAUGAAGUUUUGAUGGCUACGGUGUCGCAGAAUCCAAAUGUCAUAGACAUUCAGAACCGAAUGGCAGAUAUGUUAGGUUUGAAAAUUGAAGAAAACAGUAAAGAAGGGAGAGCAGGUCGAUUAUGGCAGAGACUGAAGGAAGUGGAGAAGAUGCUUAUAAUCCUAGAUGAUGUUUGGGAAUUUAUUGACUUGAAAGAGAUAGGGAUCCCAUUUGGUGUUGAUCACGGGGGUUGUAAAAUUCUUCUAACAACACGUCGUCAAGGCGUAUGUUCUUCUAUGAACAGCCAGCAAAAAGUGUUCUUAAGAGAAUUACCUGAAAAAGAAGCAUGGGAUUUAUUCAGAAUCAAUGCAGGUUUACGUGAUGGGAACUCUACCUUGAACACAGUGGCAAGGGAGGUUGCGAGAGAAUGCCAAGGCUUGCCUAUAGCACUUGUGACAGUGGGAAGGGCUCUAAGAGAUGCAUCUGCAGUUCAGUGGGAAUUAGCGUCUAGACAGCUCAAAGAAUCUCAAUUUGCGCGCAUGGAACAAAUUGACGAAAAAAAUAAUGCUUAUACAUGUCUUAAGUUGAGCUAUGAUUAUUUGAAGCUCGAGGAAACCAAGUCAUGUUUCGUGCUAUGCUGUUUAUUUCCAGAAGACUAUGAUAUUCCAAUCGAGGACUUGACGAGAUAUGCAGUUGGUUAUGGGUUACAUCAAGAUGCGGAGUCCAUUGAAGAUGCAAGGAAACGAGUUUUUGUGGCAAUCGAAUACCUCAAAGAUUGUUGCAUGCUGUUGGGCACUGAAACUGAAGAACAUGUGAAAAUGCAUGACUUGGUUCGUGACUUUGCUAUUCAGGUAGCAUCAUCAGAAGAAUAUGGAUUCAUGGUAAAGGCUGGCAUUGGGUUGAAGAAGUGGCCAAUGGGCAAUAAAAGCUUUGAAGGUUGUAAAACAAUUUCGUUAAUGGGCAAUAAACUAGCAGAACUUCCUGAAGGAUUGGAAUGUCCAAAGCUCAAAGUUCUAUUGUUAGAAGUGGAUUCUGGUUUGAAUGUUCCAGAGAGUUUUUUUGAAGGGAUGAAAGAAAUUGAAGUUUUGUCUCUGAAGGGAGGGCGUUUGUCAUUGCAAUCACUUGAACUCUCAACGAAACUUCAAUCGUUGGUGUUGAUCAGGUGUGGAUGCAAGGACCUCAUUUGGUUGAGAAAGCUGCAGAGACUUAAGAUUCUUGGUCUUAUGUGGUGCUCAUCCAUUGAAGAAUUACCUGAUGAAAUAGGAGAGCUCAAGGAGUUAAGGUUGUUGGAUGUGACAGGUUGUGAAAGGCUAAGAAGGAUCCCUGUGAAUUUGAUUGGAAGGUUGAAGAAGUUAGAAGAAUUGUUGAUCGGGAAAGACAGCUUUGAGGGAUGGGACAGCACAGGAGGAAUGAAUGCAAGCCUGACAGAACUAAAUUCGUUGUCUCAGUUAGCGGUAUUAUCAUUGAAGAUACCGAAGGUUGAAUGCAUUCCCAGAGAUUUUGUUUUUCCAGUUAGCUUGCGCAAAUAUGAUAUAAUAUUAGGGUAUGGGUUUGUGAGAGGAGGAUACCCAACCUCGACAAGAUUAAUUUUGGGUGGUACAUCCUUAAAUGCGAAGACAUUUGAGCAAUUGUUUUUACAUAAAUUAGAAUCUGUAGAAGUGAGGGAUUGUGGGGAUGUUUUCACUCUGUUUCCAGCAAGAUUGCGGCAAGGUUUAAAAAAUCUAAGGAGGGUAGAAAUUGAGGACUGCAAAUCAUUGGAAGAGGUAUUUGAAUUGGGUGAGGCUGAUGAUGGAAGCAGUGAGGAGAAGGAGCUACCGCUGCUGUCAUCUUUAACACUGUCAGAGUUACCUGAGCUCAAAUGCAUAUGGAAGGGGCCCACCGGGCAUGUCAGCCUUCAAAGUCUUAUUAAUCUGGAGUUGUAUUCUCUCGACAAACUGACAUUUAUCUUCACACCGUUCCUCGCUCAAAGUCUGUCAAAGCUGGAAAGCCUUGACAUAAGAGAUUGCGGUGAAUUGAAGAAUAUUAUCAGAGAAGAGGAUGGUGAAAGGGAAAUAAUUCCAGAGUCUCCUUGCUUCCCACAAUUAAAAAAGAUCAACAUAUCUUUAUGUGAUAAACUGCAAUAUGUCUUCCCAGUCUCUUUGUCUCAUAACAGAGAUGGCAUCAUCAAGUUCCCUCAACUAAGAAGAUUGUCUCUUGAGCUCAGAUCAAAUUACAGCUUUUUAGGUCCAAGGAAUUUUGAUGCUCAAUUGCCUUUGCAAAGAUUAACCAUUAAAGGACACGAAGAAGUGGGUAAUUGGUUGGCACAGCUACAAGUACGUAAUUUAUAUUUCUCCACUAAUUUAAAUUGUCAAUUGCGAUAAUUUAUUAUUUCUUCCUCCCAAUUUCUAAAAGUAAAGUAAUUGAUAAAUGAUUUUUUUUAUUUAAACAUAUAUAAAUAUAAGAAUCUUAACUGCCUCAUUGUUGUUUGCGUUAUUAAAAAUUAAUCAUAUGGAAGAACAUAUUAUCUGUUAGAUUUAACUGCCUCAUUUGAAAUAUAUUAUCUGUUAGAUUUAACUGCCUCAUGGUUUACGUAAUUUAUAUUAUCUGUUAGAUUUAUUCUUUCUUCGUCACUGCUUAUUUUUUUGUUUUAUCUAAACAUAUAUAAAUAUAAGAAACUUAAUACCAACAAUUAAUCAUAGAAAUCAUAUUAGCUUAUUUUGUGUUCAAAUAUUUAAUUCAAUUAAAAUAUCUUUAAAAAUUUAUUAACUUUAUAACUAAAAUAAAAAUAUUAGUUACUAUUUUUAUUUUUAUUUUUUACAUGAAACUAAUUAUUAGGAGUUGUAGUAACCUUUUUUCGCAAAAAUCUAAUUAUUAUUUAACUUAUCUCUAAUUAAGAAAAAAACUGAAACAAUAAUAUGUAAUCUCUAAAAAGUAUGUAAUCCUGUUUUUUCUAUUUUUUUUCUCCUAUUUAUACAUCAUAUAAAUCAUAUAAAUUGUUUUCAUGGGAGUGAAAAAAUAUAAUAUUGUUCUCUGAUAAGAUGGCCGUCCAUGGGCAGCAAAACGGCUUCUUACAAAGAUUAGAAUAUGUAAAAGUGGACGAUUGUGGGGAUGUUCGCGCUCCGUUUCCAGCAAAAUUGCUGCGAGCUUUGAACAAUCUAAAGGAGGUGAUUGUUGACAGCUGUAAAUCAUUGGAGGAGGUAUUUGAAUUGGGUGAGCCUUAUGAAGGAAGCAGUGAGGAGAAGGAGCUGCCGCUUCCAUCAUCUUUAACCAGGUUACAGCUGUACCAGUUACCUGAGCUCAAAUGCAUAUGGAAGGGGCCUACCAGCCAUGUCAGCCUCCAAAGUCUUGCUGAUCUGCAUUUGGAUUCUCUGGACAAACUGACAUUUAUCUUCACACCGUCCCUCGUUCAGAGUCUACCACAGCUAAAAAGCCUUGACAUAAGUAAAUGCAGUGAAUUGAAGCAUAUUAUCAGAGAAGAGGAUGGUGAAAGGGAAAUAAUUCAAGAGUCUCCUGGCUUCCCAAAAUUAAAAACUAUCAUCAUACAAAAGUGUGGUAAACUGGAAUAUGUCUUCCCUGUAUCUGUGUCUCCAAGCCUUCUGAACCUGGAAGAGAUGCGGAUUUUUAAAGCUCAUAAUUUAAAGCAAAUAUUUUACAGUGUAGAAGGAGAUGCACUCACCAGAGAUGCCAUCAUCAAGUUCCCUAAGCUAAGAAGAUUGUCUCUUUCAAAUUGCAGCUUCUUUGCUACAAAGAAUUUUGCUGCCCAAUUGCCUUCCUUGCAAAUUCUAGAAAUUGAUGGCCACAAAGAAUUGGGAAAUUUGUUUGCACAGCUCCAAGUACGUCCUUUAUAUUUCUCCAAUAAUUUUUUUCCUUUUUAAUCUAAAUUGUCAACUUCAAUACAUGUUGAUUUCUUCCUUUAAAUUUCUGAAACUGAAGUAAUUGAUAAGUGGAGAUAAAUCCUUUAGCCAUCCACUAAAUUGAAAAGGAGUUGUCUAAUUGUAUCAUUCCUUGUCUCUUGAUAGAGGGCUUAAGAAGUAAGAAAUUAAUUAUUGUAAUGAAAUCCUACCUUGAUUUAUGCUUUCCCAGUUUGAGUGAAAUUGAGGCUCUUCCCCCAAUUAAUGGAAGUAUUUGAAGAGGAAGAUAAACCUCCAUCUGCUAAUAUUGAGUUGAUUGUUUCAGUCCUGCAGCUUAUGAUUUCAUAUUCCCAUGUCUACUUCUAUCCUUUUGUUGAUAAGUUUUUUUGCUGAAGUUUAUAUGGACAAUUCGUUCAUCUAUUUACCAAAAUUAUAUAGUUCAAAAGUGCACAAAAUUUCUUUUGAUGCAGGGGUUGACAAAUUUGAAAACAUUACGCUUGAAGUCUCUGCCUGACAUGAGGUGUAUAUGGAAGGGUCUUGUGCUGAGCAAAUUGACUACUUUGGAGGUAAUCUAUCUGGAUAAAAAUUAGACCAAAGUACAUCAAAUAACAUCACAAAAAAAUUAUUAAUAUAUAAGAGCAUAAAUUUUGUGUUGAAAAUUUUGAAGUCAAUUAAAAUAUCUUUAAAAAUUUAUUAACUUUAUAACUAAAAUAAAAAUCUUAGUUACUAUUUUUAUUUUUAUUUUUUACAUGAAACUAAUUAUUAGGAGUUGUAUUAACCUUUUUUUCACAAAAAUCUAAUUAUUAUUCAACUUAUCUCUAAUUAAGAACAAAACUAAAACAAUAAUAUGUAAUCUCUAAAAAGUAUUUAAUCCUGUUUUUUUCUCCUAUUUAUACAUCAUAUAAAUUGUUUUUAUGAGAGUGAAAAAAUAUAAUAUUGUUCUCUGAUCAGAUGGCCGCCCAUGGGCAGCAAAACGGCUCCUUACAAAGAUUAGAAUCUGUACUAGUGGACAAUUGUGGGGAUGUUCGCGCUCCGUUUCCAGCAAAAUUGCUGCGAGCUUUGAACAAUCUAAGAUUGCGGGUGAGCAUUUCCACCUGCAAAUCAUUGGAAGAGGUAUUUGAAUUAGAUGAGGCUGAUGAAGGAAGCAGUGAGGAGAAGGAGCUGCUGUCAUCCUUAACAUUGUUACAGCUGUCAGGGUUACCUGAGCUCAAAUGCAUUUGGAAGGGGCCCACCAGACAUGUCAGCCUCCAAAGUCUUAAUAUUCUGAGUUUGGAUUCUCUCGACAAACUGCCAUUUAUCUUCACACCGUCCCUCGCUCAAAGUCUGCCAAAGCUAGCAGGCCUCUACAU
Molecule: long non-coding RNA, 22786 nt
Filed under: Populus trichocarpa (black cottonwood)
Lineage: Eukaryota; Viridiplantae; Streptophyta; Magnoliopsida; Malpighiales; Salicaceae
Description: long non-coding RNA (PTRI_LNC004449)
Source: RNAcentral